RNAcentral lists this long non-coding RNA (259 nucleotides) under Elaeis guineensis (African oil palm). Its description in RNAcentral is "long non-coding RNA (EGUI_LNC003448)". Lineage: Eukaryota; Viridiplantae; Streptophyta; Magnoliopsida; Arecales; Arecaceae. The record is from RNAcentral.
UGGAGAUAGAAGCACCCAUAAGCCGAAGAAACCAAAAGUACUGCCAUAUUUGUCCCAAUAGUGACCGCAACACUGAGGAGCACUGCAAGCUGAGCGGGAUCAGAGACUCUGUCCAAUGAGGGCCCUCAUCAAAGGAGGAGCUUUAUAAAGAAAUCACAUUGAAUGACUGUUGAUGUGGAGGACAACCUCGAUGACAAUCUGAUGGCUGGCAUCAUAGAUAUAACCCCAAUACCUACUAGUGGUAGGGGGACAGGAAGCA